AUCCGGCUGAUGAGACUCAAGUAAGUCGAAACUCAUGUCCUGGAU
RNAcentral lists this non-coding RNA (45 nucleotides) under Schistosoma margrebowiei. Lineage: Eukaryota; Metazoa; Platyhelminthes; Trematoda; Strigeidida; Schistosomatidae. The record is from RNAcentral.